This 64-nucleotide transfer RNA is filed under the name Dromaeolus sp. ZM-2022. Its description in RNAcentral is "tRNA-Tyr". The record is from RNAcentral. Lineage: Eukaryota; Metazoa; Arthropoda; Insecta; Coleoptera; Eucnemidae.
AGUGAGGUGGCCGAGAUUAGGUGAUAAAUUGUAAAUUUAUUAACGGGGCACACCCCCCCUUGCU